Danio rerio (zebrafish) is the source of this 117-nucleotide ribosomal RNA. The record is from Ensembl. NCBI's taxonomy places the organism in Eukaryota, Metazoa, Chordata, Actinopteri, Cypriniformes, Danionidae.
AUUUAUAGCCAUAUCACCCUGCAGCCCAAGAUCGAUUACUUACUGAAGCUAAGCAGGCCCUAGCUUGGUUAGCACCUAGAUGGGAGACCAAAUGGGAAAACUAGGUUGCUGUUGGAC